Molecule: long non-coding RNA, 516 nt
Organism: Ixodes scapularis (black-legged tick)
Lineage: Eukaryota; Metazoa; Arthropoda; Arachnida; Ixodida; Ixodidae
Exons: 4
Source: RefSeq, a predicted model, not a curated record
CAGAGUCGGGACAACCUCCUCUCCUGAGCUUCUCGGCGCUGCCGCUACGCGGCGUCGAUUUCGCUGGAGUCACGAAUAUUGCGCUGGCAAAUUUCCUGUACAUAGUGCUGCUUCAAAGAUGAACUGAAGUUUAUGUCUUCUAUGUGUGCAUUGGCAAUGGCAUGUGGCUCAACAAGACUUCACACACGAAAGUUCUCAAAUAGAAGAGGGAAUCAAUGUUCAUCCGCUCAGCAAAGUCUGUGGAUCUGGUUAUGCUUCCUGUACGAGACAGAUCACGAAGCGGUUGCUGACUGACCAGUUGGGGCGAAAAUUUUUGUGGGAAGGACGCAAGAGAAAGUUGACAUUCAGGAACCUUCACCUUGCUGAGUGCAUCAUAAAUGCAGUGCAGAGCUGCCAUAAAUGUGAAGACUUCAAGGUAGAAACCAUGGUCACGGAUUAACUUCGCCACGCACCUGCCUGACAUCAGUCAUCUCAAAUGGAACAUUCUGCACCACAGGAGAUAGAGAUGUGAACUGC